Molecule: ribosomal RNA, 301 nt
Filed under: uncultured bacterium
Lineage: Bacteria
Description: partial 16S ribosomal RNA
Rfam family: Bacterial small subunit ribosomal RNA
Source: RNAcentral
CAGCAGCCGCGGGAAUACGGAGGGUGCAAGCGUUAAUCGGAAUUACUGGGCGUAAAGCGCACGCAGGCGGUCUGUCAAGUCAGAUGUGAAAUCCCCGGGCUUAACCUGGGAACUGCAUUUGAAACUGUCAGGCUGGAGUCUUGUAGAGGGGGGUAGAAUUCCAGGUGUAGCGGUGAAAUGCGUAGAGAUCUGGAGGAAUACCGGUGGCGAAGGCGGCCCCCUGGACAAAGACUGACGCUCAGGUGCGAAAGCGUGGGGAGCAAACAGGAUUAGAGACCCGAGUAGUCCCUGUCUCUUAUAC